AGAGUUUGAUCCUGGCUCAGGACGAACGCUGGCGGCGUGCUUAACACAUGCAAGUCGAACGGGAGUAUCGAAGAAGCUUGCUUUUAAGAUACUUUAGUGGCGGACGGGUGAGUAACGCGUGAGGAGCUGUCCUAUGCAGGGGGACAACAGUUGGAAACGACUGCUAAUACCCCAUAAGCCGAGAGGUAAAAGGAGCGAUCCGGCAGAGGAGGUACUCGCGUCCUAUCAGCUAGUAGGUGAGGUAACGGCUCACCUAGGCGAAGACGGGUAGCCGGCCUGAGAGGGCGAACGGCCACACUGGAACUGAGAUACGGUCCAGACUCCUACGGGAGGCAGCAGUGGGGAAUAUUGCACAAUGGGCGAAAGCCUGAUGCAGCGAUGCCGCGUGAGGGAAGAAGGUCUUCGGAUUGUAAACCUCUGUUUUCAGGGACGAUAAUGACGGUACCUGAGGAGGAAGCUCCGGCUAACUACGUGCCAGCAGCCGCGGUAAUA
Molecule: ribosomal RNA, 492 nt
Filed under: uncultured bacterium
Lineage: Bacteria
Description: bacterial SSU rRNA
Rfam family: Bacterial small subunit ribosomal RNA
Source: RNAcentral